RNAcentral lists this ribosomal RNA (530 nucleotides) under uncultured bacterium. RNAcentral's name for it is "bacterial SSU rRNA". It matches the Rfam family "Bacterial small subunit ribosomal RNA", at positions 979 to 1509 of the family's 1533-position model. The record is from RNAcentral.
CCGUUGACAUCCAGAGAACUUAGCAGAGAUGCUUUGGUGCCUUCGGGAACUCUGAGACAGGUGCUGCAUGGCUGUCGUCAGCUCGUGUUGUGAAAUGUUGGGUUAAGUCCGCAACGAGCGCAACCCUUAUCCUUUGUUGCCAGCGGUUCGGCCGGGAACUCAAAGGAGACUGCCGGUGAUAAACCGGAGGAAGGUGGGGAUGACGUCAAGUCAUCAUGGCCCUUACGGCCAGGGCUACACACGUGCUACAAUGGCGCAUACAAAGAGAAGCGACCUCGCGAGAGCAAGCGGACCUCAUAAAGUGCGUCGUAGUCCGGAUUGGAGUCUGCAACUCGACUCCAUGAAGUCGGAAUCGCUAGUAAUCGUAGAUCAGAAUGCUACGGUGAAUACGUUCCCGGGCCUUGUACACACCGCCCGUCACACCAUGGGAGUGGGUUGCAAAAGAAGUAGGUAGCUUAACCUUCGGGAGGGCGCUUACCACUUUGUGAUUCAUGACUGGGGUGAAGUCGUAACAAGGUAGGCGUACGUGU